CCUACGGGAGGCUGCAGUGAGGAAUAUUGGUCAAUGGACGAGAGUCUGAACCAGCCAAGUAGCGUGAAGGAUGACUGCCCUAUGGGUUGUAAACUUCUUUUAUAUGGGAAUAAAAUGUUCCACGUGUGGGAUUUUGUAUGUACCAUAUGAAUAAGGAUCGGCUAACUCCGUGCCAGCAGCCGCGGUAAUACGGAGGAUCCGAGCGUUAUCCGGAUUUAUUGGGUUUAAAGGGAGCGUAGGUGGAUUGUUAAGUCAGUUGUGAAAGUUUGCGGCUCAACCGUAAAAUUGCAGUUGAAACUGGCAGUCGUGAGUACAGUAGAGGUGGGCGGAAUGCGUGGUGUAGCGGUGAAAUGCUUAGAUAUCACGAAGAACUCCGAUUGCGAAGGCAGCUCACUGGACUGCAACUGACACUGAGGCUCGAAAGUGUGGGUAUCAAACAGGAUUAGAUACCCCUGUAGUC
Molecule: ribosomal RNA, 460 nt
Filed under: uncultured bacterium
Lineage: Bacteria
Description: partial 16S ribosomal RNA
Rfam family: Bacterial small subunit ribosomal RNA
Source: RNAcentral